GACGAACGCUGGCGGCGUGCUUAACACAUGCAAGUCGAACGGAAAGGCCCUGCUUUUGUUGGGUGCUCGAGUGGCGAACGGGUGAGUAACACGUGAGUAACCUGCCCUUGUCUUUCGGAUAACUUCAGGGAACUGGGGCUAUUACCCGAUAUGAUCUCCUGCUGCAUGGUGGGGGUUGGAGAGUUUCGGCGGUUGGGGAUGGUCUCGCGGCUUAUCAGCUUGUUUGUGGGGUAGUUGCUUACCAAGGGUUUGACGGGUAGCCGGCCUGAGAGGGUGACCGGCCACAAUGGUACUGAGAUACGGCGCAGACGCCUACCGUAGGCAACGGGGGGGAAUAUUGCACAAUGGGCGGAAGCGUGAUGCAGCAGCGCCGCGUGCGGGAUGACGGCCUUCGGGGUGUAAACCGCUGUCGCCUGUGACGAGGCGUGAGUGACGGUAAUGGGUAAAGAAGCACCGGCUAACUACGUG
This 468-nucleotide ribosomal RNA is filed under the name uncultured bacterium. Its description in RNAcentral is "partial 16S ribosomal RNA". It matches the Rfam family "Bacterial small subunit ribosomal RNA", at positions 28 to 507 of the family's 1533-position model. The record is from RNAcentral.